UACGUAGGGGGCGAGCGUUAUCCGGAUUUAUUGGGCGUAAAGAGUUCGUAGGCGGUUUGUUAAGUCUAAAAUUCAAGCCCGAGGCUUAACCUCGGUUCGUUUUAGAAACUGGCAAACUUGAGUGUGGUAGAGGCAAGUGGAAUUUCUAGUGUAGCGGUUAAAUGCGUAGAUAUUAGAAGGAACACCAGUGGCGAAGGCGGCUUGCUGGGCCAUUACUGACGCUGAGGAACGAAAGCGUGGGGAGCAAAUAGG
RNAcentral lists this ribosomal RNA (252 nucleotides) under uncultured bacterium. RNAcentral describes it as "partial 16S ribosomal RNA". It matches the Rfam family "Bacterial small subunit ribosomal RNA", at positions 524 to 776 of the family's 1533-position model. The record is from RNAcentral.